CCAGUAGCGUAUAUUAAAGUUGUUGCAGUUAAAAAGCUCGUAGUUGAAUUUCGGGAUCAAUAUUUCGGUCAUGCCGUUGGUAUGCACUGUUAUCAUUGAUUUCUCACCUUCUAAAGAACCGUAAUGCCAUUAAUUUGGUGUUACGGGGAAUUAGGACUGUUACCUUGAAAAAAUUAGAGUGUUUAAAGCAGGCUCACGCUUGAAUACAUUAGCAUGGAAUAAUGAAAUAGGACAUCCGAUUCUAUUUUGUUGGUUUCUAGGAUCGAUGUAAUGAUUAAUAGGGAUAGUUGGGGGCAUUAGUAUUCAAUUGUCAGAGGUGAAAUUCUUGGAUUUAUUGAAGACUAACUACUGCGAAGGCAUUUGCCAAGGAUGUUUUCAUUAAUCAAGAACGAAAGUUAGGGGAUCGAAGACGAUCAGAUACCGUCGUAGUCUUAACCAUAAACUAUGCCGACUAGGGAUCGGAUGAUGUUAAUUUUUUAAUGACUCAUUCGGCGCCUUACG
Molecule: ribosomal RNA, 501 nt
Filed under: uncultured Glomeromycotina
Lineage: Eukaryota; Fungi; Glomeromycota
Description: partial small subunit ribosomal RNA
Rfam family: Eukaryotic small subunit ribosomal RNA
Source: RNAcentral